Molecule: long non-coding RNA, 851 nt
Organism: Magnolia sinica
Lineage: Eukaryota; Viridiplantae; Streptophyta; Magnoliopsida; Magnoliales; Magnoliaceae
Exons: 3
Source: RefSeq, a predicted model, not a curated record
UAUAUUUGUUGUAUAUGAUUACUUGGAACCGAAUGUGCAAGCCUUCAUUACUAGAUGUAGUUGUUAGAUCCAUCUAAUUGAUGGCUGAAUGGAAUGAUUUAUUUGAAUGUAAAACUGUCAUGAUAUGUUCGGUUUUAUGCCUUGAAACUUGAUUCUUGUAAAUUACUCUUGAUAUGUUGGAUGUGCUUGGCUGGUAUGUUUUUGGGCAUUUGGCAAGCCAUCAACUUGGCUAAUAUGCUUAAAGAUUAACUAGAAGUAAACUAACAUGUUAUGUAUAUGUUUUGAUGCAAGACAAUUUUUGCAAAGUUGGGCCAAGAAUUCCAACUUAAACCUGAUCCACAACCCAUUAAUGAUAGUGUUAGCCUAGCUCCAUUUCAAGUUGAAUAACAGAAACAUAUUGGUAAAUAUUUUCUAUUUUCUCUGUUUUGUAGGGAUUUUUAGAAUAAUUUACUUUUAAAUAUUUCAGACACUCUUGAUCCUCAUGCAAACGUCACCAUCAUGGAGAGCUGGAUGAAAAGGCAGAAAUCAUACAUGAGGAUUUGACCAAUCACGCUUGUCGGUUGAUGACAAUUCACAAGGAGUAAAAUGGAUAUAUGGAGCUCUUUCUACUCAUAUGUGGUCAGGGAUGAUUUGCAAGGAGUAUAGAUAAACUUUUCUUUAUUUCUAUCUUACCUUUUCUUUUUAUUUCUUAUUCUUUGGUUUUUUUUUUUUUUUUUUGGGUUCCUUCUACCCUUCCAACAGAAUUGUGUAAUCAUAUGUGAGAGAUAUGAUGGCCCUUGUAAGAGCUUGGAAGACAAAUUACUCUCUCGUUAUGCAUGUAAUUAAUUAAGUGUGAUGUAUUUCUUCUAUUA